CAAGACCUCGCGCUAUUGGAUGAGCCAAAGUCGGAUUAGCUAGUUGGUGGGGUAAUGGCCUACCAAGGCGACAAUCCGUAGCUGGUCUGAGAGGACGACCAGCCACACCGGAACUGAGACACGGUCCGGACUCCUACGGGAGGCAGCAGUGGGGAAUAUUGGACAAUGGGGGAAACCCUGAUCCAGCGACGCCGCGUGUGUGAAGAAGGCCUGCGGGUUGUAAAGCACUUUUAGUGGGGACAAAAAGCCAUUGACUAACACUCGAUGGUCUUGAUUUAACCCAAAGAAAAAGCACCGGCUAACUCUGUGCCAGCAGCCGCGGUAAUACAGAGGGUGCGAGCGUUAAUCGGAAUUACUGGGCGUAAAGCGCGCGUAGACGGUUUUGUAAGUCAGAUGUGAAAUCCCCGGGCUCAACCUGGGAACU
RNAcentral lists this ribosomal RNA (424 nucleotides) under uncultured bacterium. RNAcentral describes it as "bacterial SSU rRNA". It matches the Rfam family "Bacterial small subunit ribosomal RNA", at positions 202 to 622 of the family's 1533-position model. The record is from RNAcentral.